GUCCAGGGAUGGGAUUCGAACCCACAGUGUUCUGCUUACCGGACAGCUGCCAUGUCCACUAGGCUACCCUGGA
RNAcentral lists this transfer RNA (73 nucleotides) under Cordylochernes scorpioides. RNAcentral's name for it is "tRNA-Thr". The record is from RNAcentral. Lineage: Eukaryota; Metazoa; Arthropoda; Arachnida; Pseudoscorpiones; Chernetidae.